Molecule: transfer RNA, 89 nt
Filed under: Synergistales bacterium
Lineage: Bacteria; Thermotogati; Synergistota; Synergistia; Synergistales
Description: tRNA-Ser
Rfam family: tRNA
About the family: Transfer RNA (tRNA) molecules are approximately 80 nucleotides in length.
Source: RNAcentral
GGAGACGUGGCCGAGUGGUCGAAGGCGGUUGACUCGAAAUCAACUGAGCGGUUUCCGCUCCUAGAGUUCGAAUCUCUACGUCUCCGCCA